Molecule: transfer RNA, 73 nt
Filed under: Magnolia grandiflora
Lineage: Eukaryota; Viridiplantae; Streptophyta; Magnoliopsida; Magnoliales; Magnoliaceae
Description: tRNA-Ala
Source: RNAcentral
GGAAAAGAAUCGAAGAAGCAUCUGACUCCUUCAUGCAUGGCCUCUAUGGUAGAAUCAGUCGGGGAGGCCCGAG